UGGGGAAUUUUGGACAAUGGGCGCAAGCCUGAUGCAGCAACGCCGCGUGAGGGACGACGGCCUUCGGGUUGUAAACCUCUUUUGGCAGGGAAGAAGCGAAAGUGACGGUACCUGCAGAAAAAGCACCGGCUAACUACGUGCCAGCAGCCGCGGUGAUACGUAGGGUGCAAGCGUUGUCCGGAAUUAUUGGGCGUAAAGAGCUCGUAGGCGGUUUGUCGCGUCUGCUGUGAAAACCCGAGGCUCAACCUCGGGCCUGCAGUGGGUACGGGCAAACUAGAGUGCGGUAGGGGAGAUUGGAAUUCCUGGUGUAGCGGUGGAAUGCGCAGAUAUCAGGAGGAACACCGAUGGCGAAGGCAGAUCUCUGGGCCGUAACUGACGCUGAGGAGCGAAAGCAUGGGGAGCGAACA
RNAcentral lists this ribosomal RNA (407 nucleotides) under uncultured bacterium. RNAcentral describes it as "bacterial SSU rRNA". It matches the Rfam family "Bacterial small subunit ribosomal RNA", at positions 355 to 774 of the family's 1533-position model. The record is from RNAcentral.